CUCCCAGCACACUCCGGGGGAGACUGCUUUUGUCACAAGUCCCCUGGGACAGGAAAAGCUUGCUGAUUUUGAGGUGAUGGAGGAAAACCCUUCACGGCACCUAUCUUUUAUUUCAUUGAUGCAAUGGCAGCAGUCCCGGUUCCUAAUCAGGGGAGCAGAGCCAGGCUUCAGGCAGAUCCCAUGCUGCCCAGUAUGACAGCAGCCAGGAGCCACAGCGUGUGGCUGCUGGACUCUUGAAUGUGGUUUGUUUGAUGGAGGAGCUGAAUUUUUAAUUGUAUUUAAUUUCAGUUAACGUCACACCGGAUAUUCAGUUCAGUUUUGGGCAAACUUGUAAGUGUAUUUAAAUUACCCUAGGCACACGCGUCUAUUUUUCAAAUGAUACGUCUUCUGAACUUUAGCUACGGAUCAAACGCGUCCUUAACGGUGAUCAGCGUUUCCGAUGACAGUUUAGCGGUCACGCUGAAAUGUGCUGAGUGUAAAAAUGCCCUGGUUUCGAAGACUUCACAACAUGCAAAGAGAAACGGAAAGGAGCUGGCGAAUACGUUUUUGGGUUGAUUCCAUGUUGAAGUGAUACUAUUUCAGAUAAGAUGGAUUAAAUAAAACGAAUUAUUCAAACGGAAUCCACCUACAAGGGGUUAUUCUCCAGCCGUAAAAAGGAACGGAGGACGUGUUCCCAGGCGACCACGUGCACGAACCUGGCACCAGGCUGUGCGCAGGGAGCACACGUGUUCUGCGAUUCCACGGACGCGACGCGACCGGAGGAGGCGGGGCCGUGGAGACAGGAAUUUCCCGGGAAAUUGUGGCAGCUGAAUUUGCAUGAUGUAGCUACAAAUGGAAUCUGCAAAAUGUGUGUGUUCAUGUGGUUUGGACGUGAGAAUAAUUCCUGUACCCGGUCAUGUCGGGAAGAGUCGAAAUAUUCACUUCCCGUCCCCCAGGGACCAGGCCAGCUCUCGGACCCUGACAGUUGAUGGCAGCUUGGAGGCUUAAUGGAGGCCGCGUGACCCAUGGAACGCCUGCAGGCCAGCCACCCUGCGCUCAAGAAAUGGGAGCGGCUAUUAGCAGCAGGACUGCUCUUAGAAAAUGUGCUAAGUAAUGCAUGGAGUGUGGUGUUUCACAGCCACGUAAUGAUGGUAAAAUACGCUGUAAAUCAAUAGAGGAGGUGGCCUGUGUUUUAACCCUUUGAAUCAGUUU
RNAcentral lists this long non-coding RNA (1191 nucleotides) under Sus scrofa (pig). RNAcentral describes it as "lncRNA (ENSSSCG00065006521.1)". Lineage: Eukaryota; Metazoa; Chordata; Mammalia; Artiodactyla; Suidae. The record is from RNAcentral.